CGCCCUUCGGGGUGCAGCAGGCGCGAAAACUUUACAAUGCUGGCAACAGCGAUAAGGGGACCUCGAGUGCCAGGAUACAAUCUUGGCUGUCGCGAUGCCUAAAAAGCAUUGCAUAGCAAGGGCCGGGCAAGACCGGUGCCAGCCGCCGCGGUAACACCGGCGGCUCGAGUGGUAACCGCUAUUAUUGGGUCUAAAGGGUCUGUAGCCGGCCGGAUAAGUCUUUUGGGAAAUCCAGCUGCUCAACAGUUGGGCUUUCAGAAGAUACUGUUCGGCUCGAGACCGGGAGAGGUGAGAGGUACUUCAGGGGUAGGGGUGAAAUCUUGUAAUCCUUGAAGGACCACCAGUGGCGAAGGCGUCUCACCAGAACGGAUCUGACGGCAAGGGACGAAAGCUAGGGGCACGAACCGGAUUAGAUACCCGGGUAGUCCUAGCCGUAAACGAUACUCGCUAGGUGUCAGCCACGGUGCGACCGUGGUUGGUGCCGUAGGGAAGCCGUGAAGCGAGCCACCUGGGAAGUACGGCCGCAAGGCUGAAACUUAAAGGAAUUGGCGGGGGAGCAC
This 560-nucleotide ribosomal RNA is filed under the name uncultured archaeon. Its description in RNAcentral is "bacterial SSU rRNA". It matches the Rfam family "Archaeal small subunit ribosomal RNA", at positions 319 to 879 of the family's 1478-position model. The record is from RNAcentral.